GCAGCCGCCGCGGUAACACAGAGGGUGCGAGCGUUAAUCGGAUUUACUGGGCGUAAAGCGUGCGUAGGCGGCUUUUUAAGUCGGAUGUGAAAUCCCUGAGCUUAACUUAGGAAUUGCAUUCGAUACUGGGAAGCUAGAGUAUGGGAGAGGAUGGUAGAAUUCCAGGUGUAGCGGUGAAAUGCGUAGAGAUCUGGAGGAAUACCGAUGGCGAAGGCAGCCAUCUGGCCUAAUACUGACGCUGAGGUACGAAAGCAUGGGGAGCAAACAGGAUUAGAUACCCCGGUAGUCCCUGUCUCUUAUAC
RNAcentral lists this ribosomal RNA (302 nucleotides) under uncultured bacterium. RNAcentral describes it as "partial 16S ribosomal RNA". It matches the Rfam family "Bacterial small subunit ribosomal RNA", at positions 508 to 807 of the family's 1533-position model. The record is from RNAcentral.